GAUGAACGCUGGCGGCGUGCUUAACACAUGCAAGUCGAACGAGAAGUGAAGACGGAAACCUUCGGGCGGAAGGCUUUAUUUCGAGUGGCGGACGGGUGAGUAACGCGUGGGUAACCUGCCUCAUACAGGGGGAUAACAGUUGGAAACGACUGUUAAUACCGCAUAAGACCACAGCACCGCAUGGUGCGGGGGUAACAACUCCGGUGGUAUGAGAUGGACCCGCGUUCGAUUAGCCAGUUGGCGGGGUAACGGCGCACCACAGCGACGAUCGAUAGCCGAUCUGUGAGGAAGGCCCGCGACACUUGGACUGAGACGCGGCGCAGACUCUUACGGGAGGGAGGAGUGGGGGAUAUUGCACAAUGGGGGAAAUCCUGAUGCAGCGACGCCGCGAGAGUGAAGAUGUAGUGCGAGAUGAAAAGCUCGAUAAGCAGGGAAGAAAAUGACGGUACCUGAGGAAGAAGCCCCGGCUAACUACGUG
RNAcentral lists this ribosomal RNA (478 nucleotides) under uncultured bacterium. RNAcentral's name for it is "partial 16S ribosomal RNA". It matches the Rfam family "Bacterial small subunit ribosomal RNA", at positions 28 to 507 of the family's 1533-position model. The record is from RNAcentral.